AAAUUGAAGAGUUUGAUCAUGGCUCAGAUUGAACGCUGGCGGCAGGCCUAACACAUGCAAGUCGAGCGGUAGCACAGAGAGCUUGCUCUCGGGUGACGAGCGGCGGACGGGUGAGUAAUGUCUGGGAAACUGCCUGAUGGAGGGGGAUAACUACUGGAAACGGUAGCUAAUACCGCAUAAUGUCGCAAGACCAAAGUGGGGGACCUUCGGGCCUCAUGCCAUCAGAUGUGCCCAGAUGGGAUUAGCUAGUAGGUGGGGUAACGGCUCACCUAGGC
RNAcentral lists this ribosomal RNA (275 nucleotides) under Klebsiella pneumoniae. Its description in RNAcentral is "partial 16S ribosomal RNA". It matches the Rfam family "Bacterial small subunit ribosomal RNA", at positions 1 to 274 of the family's 1533-position model. The record is from RNAcentral. Lineage: Bacteria; Pseudomonadati; Pseudomonadota; Gammaproteobacteria; Enterobacterales; Enterobacteriaceae.